Molecule: ribosomal RNA, 301 nt
Filed under: uncultured bacterium
Lineage: Bacteria
Description: partial 16S ribosomal RNA
Rfam family: Bacterial small subunit ribosomal RNA
Source: RNAcentral
CAGCCGCCGCGGGAAUACGAAGGGGGCUAGCGUUGUUCGGAAUUACUGGGCGUAAAGCGCACGUAGGCGGAUAUUUAAGUCAGGGGUGAAAUCCCGCAGCUCAACUGCGGAACUGCCUUUGAUACUGGGUAUCUUGAGUAUGGAAGAGGUUAGUGGAAUUGCGAGUGUAGAGGUGAAAUUCGUAGAUAUUCGCAGGAACACCAGUGGCGAAGGCGGCUAACUGGUCCAUAACUGACGCUGAGGUGCGAAAGCGUGGGGAGCAAACAGGAUUAGAUACCCGCGUAGUCCCUGUCUCUUAUAC